RNAcentral lists this ribosomal RNA (422 nucleotides) under uncultured eukaryote. RNAcentral's name for it is "bacterial SSU rRNA". It matches the Rfam family "Eukaryotic small subunit ribosomal RNA", at positions 592 to 1018 of the family's 1831-position model. The record is from RNAcentral.
CAAUAGCGUAUAUUAAAGUUGUUGCGGUUAAAAAGCUCGUAGUUGGAUUUCUGUUGAGGUCGGCCGGUCCCUACUUCGUAGGCGUAUCUGGUUCAGCCUUGGCAUCCUCCUAGGGAACGGUACUGCUCUUAACUGAGUGGUCCGGUAUCUAGGACUUUUACUUUGAGGAAAUUAGAGUGUUUACGGCAGGCAAUCGCCUUGAAUAUGUUAGCAUGGAAUAAUAAGAUAAGACUUGGGUCAUUAUUUUGUUGGUUUGCGGAUCGAGGUAAUGAUUAAUAGGGAUAGUUGGGGGUAUUCAUAUUUAAUUGUCAGAGGUGAAAUUCUUGGAUUUAUGAAAGAUGAACUUAGGCGAAAGCAUUUACCAAGGAUGUUUUCAUUAAUCAAGAACGAAAGUUAGGGGAUCGAAGAUGAUCAGAUACCAU